Molecule: long non-coding RNA, 1238 nt
Filed under: Phasianus colchicus (ring-necked pheasant)
Lineage: Eukaryota; Metazoa; Chordata; Aves; Galliformes; Phasianidae
Description: lncRNA (ENSPCLG00000021123.1)
Source: RNAcentral
CUGCCUGUAGGCAUCACAUUGAGUUCCUGUCCCAAAUCGUACCGGAUCCCCACCGGCUCCAGUGGAGCAGUCCGUGAGGCGGUGCCGACCUGCAGGUGGGACAGCCCUGCUGCUUUCACUGGGUUCAGCCACAUGGAGCAUCAUUCUCUGAAGGAUGAAUGGGCUUUGUAGUCUGGAAUUGGUUUGCUGGGGUGUGUGAUGGGACAGAGUGCCUGGCUGAACGUCUCCGGAGCACCGCACGCGUCACGGUGUUGUGACAGCAGAGGUGCCCUUGUGCGCACAGCCGAGUUGGCAAAUAGCUGUUAGAUGGAGGGGAUGAUCGUAAUUACAGGAACAAAAUAGUUAUUAAUGCGCUAAUUUACCUGGGAACCAGACUUUAUGUAAUUACACUCCAGGAUCAAGAUAAGGUUAAUGCAUUUACCUUCCUGGAUAUUUAUAGAUGUUUUACAAUCGCUCUCCUUUGAGCACCGCGGCACUGAGCAGAGGCACUGGGAACUCAUUCGUGGCUGUGGGACUCUGGGACAGGAGCCCAUCAGCAGCAACGCAGCGUUAGGAGAGAACUUUGCAAACAGCUCCCAGUUGCUGCCUGUGUCCGUGCAGCCCCAGGACAGCUUCAGCUGCGAUGAUGGUCGGGAGACGCCGCAUCCUUUGGAAAUCCUUGCUCCAGCAGCGAUGGCAGCGAGCGUCCUAGAAAUGCCAGGAUAGAGCAGGAUGGGGUGUGGGAAGCUCAGCCCCCCCCGUGUCCCCUCGUCCCCAGCGCCUGGCACUGCUGGCAGCUGCCUUGCUGCAUGUCACACCAUGUGGUGCUGCUCCCCGUCGCCAUCCGCUCGCUGCGCGCUCCGCAUGGCCGCCCCGCAGCGUUGGCUCCCAGGCUGCUUGCGAGCAUCUGAGUGGUGUCACCAAGGAUCUGUGUUGUGGUGCCACGCAGGGGACAAGCAGCAAGCUGCAGAAGCACUUUUAAGCUCUGCUGAGCAGCGCUGGACCUCGCGGUGCAGAGAGGCAUCGCGCUCCGGCUCUGAGAUGGGGAGAGCAGAUGGGCACAGCAUUGCUGUGGCCCUUCCAGGUUUGGAAUGUGGUGCUGGGAUUCAGACAAACCCCACAUGAUAAAUCUGGUGUUGCUUGGUCCACCAUUUCUUUCCUUUCUCUCCUGUUCCCAAGUGCUGUGGGUGAGAUGCACGUGGUGCCCCCAGGUUGGCUAAUGGGGCACUUGGUAAACGCAGACUCAUUUCACUUCCAAU